GUGGGGAAUAUUCCGCAAUGGACGAAAGUCUGACGGAGCAACGCCGCGUGAGUGAUGAAGGUUUUCGGACUGUAAAGCUCUGUUGUUUAGGACGAAAGUGCCUGUUGCAAAUAGUUACAGGUAUUGACGGUACUGAACGAGGAAGCCACGGCUAACUACGUGCCAGCAGCCGCGGUAAUACGUAGGUGGCAAGCGUUGUCCGGAAUUAUUGGGCGUAAAGAGCAGGUAGGCGGGAAUCUAAGUCUGUUGUGAAAAUGCGGGGCUCAACCCCGUAGUGCGAUGGAAACUGGGUUUCUUGAGUGCAGGAGAGGAAAGUGGAAUUCCCAGUGUAGCGGUGAAAUGCGUAGAUAUUGGGAGGAACACCAGUGGAGAAGGCGCCUUUCUGGACUGUGUCUGACGCUGAGAUGCGAAAGCCAGGGUAGCGAACGGGAUUAGAUACCCCGGUAGUCC
RNAcentral lists this ribosomal RNA (450 nucleotides) under uncultured bacterium. Its description in RNAcentral is "partial 16S ribosomal RNA". It matches the Rfam family "Bacterial small subunit ribosomal RNA", at positions 354 to 796 of the family's 1533-position model. The record is from RNAcentral.